CCUACGGGAGGCAGCAGUGGGGAAUAUUGGACAAUGGGGGGAACCCUGAUCCAGCCAUGCCGCGUGUGUGAAGAAGGCCCUCGGGUUGUAAAGCACUUUCAGUGAGGAAGAACGCCUGGUGGUUAAUACCCAUCAGGAAAGACAUCACUCACAGAAGAAGCACCGGCUAACUCCGUGCCAGCAGCCGCGGUAAUACGGAGGGUGCGAGCGUUAAUCGGAAUUACUGGGCGUAAAGCGCGCGUAGGUGGCUUGAUAAGCCGGUUGUGAAAGCCCCGGGCUCAACCUGGGAACGGCAUCCGGAACUGUCAAGCUAGAGUGCAGGAGAGGAAGGUAGAAUUCCCGGUGUAGAGGUGAAAUGCGUAGAGAUCGGGAGGAAUACCAGUGGCGAAGGCGGCCUUCUGGACUGACACUGACACUGAGGUGCGAAAGCGUGGGUAGCAAACAGGAUUAGAUACCCUGGUAGUC
Molecule: ribosomal RNA, 465 nt
Filed under: Vreelandella stevensii
Lineage: Bacteria; Pseudomonadati; Pseudomonadota; Gammaproteobacteria; Oceanospirillales; Halomonadaceae
Description: partial 16S ribosomal RNA
Rfam family: Bacterial small subunit ribosomal RNA
Source: RNAcentral